Molecule: transfer RNA, 85 nt
Filed under: Syntrophomonadaceae bacterium
Lineage: Bacteria; Bacillati; Bacillota; Clostridia; Eubacteriales; Syntrophomonadaceae
Description: tRNA-Leu
Rfam family: tRNA
About the family: Transfer RNA (tRNA) molecules are approximately 80 nucleotides in length. Their secondary structure includes four short double-helical elements and three loops (D, anti-codon, and T loops).
Source: RNAcentral
GCGGGAGUGGCGGAAUUGGCAGACGCGCCGGACUUAGGAUCCGGUGGGUAAAACCGUAAGGGUUCAAAUCCCUUCUCCCGCACCA